GGGUUGUGAGGUUAAGCGACUAAGCGUACACGGUGGAUGCCCUGGCAGUCAGAGGCGAUGAAGGACGUGCUAAUCUGCGAUAAGCGUCGGUAAGGUGAUAUGAACCGUUAUAACCGGCGAUUUCCGAAUGGGGAAACCCAGUGUGAUUCGUCACACUAUCAUUAACUGAAUCCAUAGGUUAAUGAGGCGAACCGGGGGAACUGAAACAUCUAAGUACCCCGAGGAAAAGAAAUCAACCGAGAUUCCCCCAGUAGCGGCGAGCGAACGGGGAGCAGCCCAGAGCCUGAAUCAGUGUGUGUGUUAGUGGAAGCGUCUGGAAAGGCGCGCGAUACAGGGUGACAGCCCCGUACACAAAAAUGCACAUACUGUGAGCUCGAUGAGUAGGGCGGGACACGUGGUAUCCUGUCUGAAUAUGGGGGGACCAUCCUCCAAGGCUAAAUACUCCUGACUGACCGAUAGUGAACCAGUACCGUGAGGGAAAGGCGAAAAGAACCCCGGCGAGGGGAGUGAAAAAGAACCUGAAACCGUGUACGUACAAGCAGUGGGAGCACAGAGCAAUCUGUGUGACUGCGUACCUUUUGUAUAAUGGGUCAGCGACUUAUAUUCUGUAGCAAGGUUAACCGAAUAGGGGAGCCGAAGGGAAACCGAGUCUUAACUGGGCGUUAAGUUGCAGGGUAUAGACCCGAAACCCGGUGAUCUAGCCAUGGGCAGGUUGAAGGUUGGGUAACACUAACUGGAGGACCGAACCGACUAAUGUUGAAAAAUUAGCGGAUGACUUGUGGCUGGGGGUGAAAGGCCAAUCAAACCGGGAGAUAGCUGGUUCUCCCCGAAAGCUAUUUAGGUAGCGCCUCGUGAAUUCAUCUCCGGGGGUAGAGCACUGUUUCGGCAAGGGGGUCAUCCCGACUUACCAACCCGAUGCAAACUGCGAAUACCGGAGAAUGUUAUCACGGGAGACACACGGCGGGUGCUAACGUCCGUCGUGAAGAGGGAAACAACCCAGACCGCCAGCUAAGGUCCCAAAGUCAUGGUUAAGUGGGAAACGAUGUGGGAAGGCCCAGACAGCCAGGAUGUUGGCUUAGAAGCAGCCAUCAUUUAAAGAAAGCGUAAUAGCUCACUGGUCGAGUCGGCCUGCGCGGAAGAUGUAACGGGGCUAAACCAUGCACCGAAGCUGCGGCAGCGACGCUUAUGCGUUGUUGGGUAGGGGAGCGUUCUGUAAGCCUGCGAAGGUGUGCUGUGAGGCAUGCUGGAGGUAUCAGAAGUGCGAAUGCUGACAUAAGUAACGAUAAAGCGGGUGAAAAGCCCGCUCGCCGGAAGACCAAGGGUUCCUGUCCAACGUUAAUCGGGGCAGGGUGAGUCGACCCCUAAGGCGAGGCCGAAAGGCGUAGUCGAUGGGAAACAGGUUAAUAUUCCUGUACUUGGUGUUACUGCGAAGGGGGGACGGAGAAGGCUAUGUUGGCCGGGCGACGGUUGUCCCGGUUUAAGCGUGUAGGCUGGUUUUCCAGGCAAAUCCGGAAAAUCAAGGCUGAGGCGUGAUGACGAGGCACUACGGUGCUGAAGCAACAAAUGCCCUGCUUCCAGGAAAAGCCUCUAAGCAUCAGGUAACAUCAAAUCGUACCCCAAACCGACACAGGUGGUCAGGUAGAGAAUACCAAGGCGCUUGAGAGAACUCGGGUGAAGGAACUAGGCAAAAUGGUGCCGUAACUUCGGGAGAAGGCACGCUGAUAUGUAGGUGAAGCGACUUGCUCGUGGAGCUGAAAUCAGUCGAAGAUACCAGCUGGCUGCAACUGUUUAUUAAAAACACAGCACUGUGCAAACACGAAAGUGGACGUAUACGGUGUGACGCCUGCCCGGUGCCGGAAGGUUAAUUGAUGGGGUCAGCGCAAGCGAAGCUCUUGAUCGAAGCCCCGGUAAACGGCGGCCGUAACUAUAACGGUCCUAAGGUAGCGAAAUUCCUUGUCGGGUAAGUUCCGACCUGCACGAAUGGCGUAAUGAUGGCCAGGCUGUCUCCACCCGAGACUCAGUGAAAUUGAACUCGCUGUGAAGAUGCAGUGUACCCGCGGCAAGACGGAAAGACCCCGUGAACCUUUACUAUAGCUUGACACUGAACAUUGAGCCUUGAUGUGUAGGAUAGGUGGGAGGCUUUGAAGUGUGGACGCCAGUCUGCAUGGAGCCGACCUUGAAAUACCACCCUUUAAUGUUUGAUGUUCUAACGUGGACCCGUGAUCCGGGUUGCGGACAGUGUCUGGUGGGUAGUUUGACUGGGGCGGUCUCCUCCUAAAGAGUAACGGAGGAGCACGAAGGUUGGCUAAUCCUGGUCGGACAUCAGGAGGUUAGUGCAAUGGCAUAAGCCAGCUUGACUGCGAGCGUGACGGCGCGAGCAGGUGCGAAAGCAGGUCAUAGUGAUCCGGUGGUUCUGAAUGGAAGGGCCAUCGCUCAACGGAUAAAAGGUACUCCGGGGAUAACAGGCUGAUACCGCCCAAGAGUUCAUAUCGACGGCGGUGUUUGGCACCUCGAUGUCGGCUCAUCACAUCCUGGGGCUGAAGUAGGUCCCAAGGGUAUGGCUGUUCGCCAUUUAAAGUGGUACGCGAGCUGGGUUUAGAACGUCGUGAGACAGUUCGGUCCCUAUCUGCCGUGGGCGCUGGAGAACUGAGGGGGGCUGCUCCUAGUACGAGAGGACCGGAGUGGACGCAUCACUGGUGUUCGGGUUGUCAUGCCAAUGGCACUGCCCGGUAGCUAAAUGCGGAAGAGAUAAGUGCUGAAAGCAUCUAAGCACGAAACUUGCCCCGAGAUGAGUUCUCCCUGACUCCUUGAGAGUCCUGAAGGAACGUUGAAGACGACGACGUUGAUAGGCCGGGUGUGUAAGCGCAGCGAUGCGUUGAGCUAACCGGUACUAAUGAACCGUGAGGCUUAACCUUACAACGCCGAAGCUGUU
This 2932-nucleotide ribosomal RNA is filed under the name Escherichia coli. RNAcentral's name for it is "23S ribosomal RNA". It matches the Rfam family "Bacterial large subunit ribosomal RNA". Lineage: Bacteria; Pseudomonadati; Pseudomonadota; Gammaproteobacteria; Enterobacterales; Enterobacteriaceae. The record is from RNAcentral.